AGCUGCUAGGUUAACGCUCCCGGACGGUGAACUGGAGACAGUGAACGCAGCACGAGGCACAAAUCUCGUCGGUUAACGGUUAAUAAUCGGUUAACGAGGGUCGGUUAUUCGUUAAGAAAAUGUUUCGAAGUUAGCAUCCCUAAUACAGAUAUCUUUGAUUUUCUGUGCUCUUUGGCAGUUUUAGUCCACGAGUCACUGAGCAUUCAUGAGGUUGUAUUGCACAGAUUUAAUUUACUGGCGUCUUCCCUCAAUAGAAAAUGUUUCUCAUUAAUGUUUUAUGGUUGAGUCUCCAUGGUGUAGCUCUUGUCAUAUUUUUCCGGUCUUGGGCUUUCUAGAUAUUUUGUAAUUGUAUUGCUGGUUGUUUGUAAUGGUUGUGGUGAGAGGCGGUGUCCUGGCGUACAGAGAGUUUUCUGCAGACGACUCAGAUUCUUUCUAGCAGAGAGAUGAUGUCAGCGCUCGACAAUGAGGAUAGCCCGGGGCGAGUAAAAUGCCACGUCAGGCUAUUAAAUCUAGCACACUUACUUGCCUGAUCGGGACACAUUGUUUUUUUCUGGAGCUGAUGAUGUAAUAAUAAUAAUAAUAAUAAUAACUUUAUUUAUAUAGCACCUUUCAAAACAAGGUUACAAAGUGCUUUACAAUAAAAGCAUGAUAAAAGUAAUUAACAUCCAGAACUUAAGAUCUAAACAAGAUAAAAUCAUAUACAUACAAAAUAAAAUCUUAUAUAUAGUUACAACAGAGCACCGUCAGUUAAGAAAAAGGCAUAAUGUAAAAGUGAAUCUUAAGAAGAGGCAGCAGAAGAAAAACAUUGCUGGAAUUGUAUAGGGGUAAAAACACGACGAAGUAAAAAAAAAAAAACAGAUCUGAAAAAUGUCUGAAAAAAAGAUCUAAAAAAUAGAUCUGAAUAAAUGUCCGAAAAAAAGAUCUAAAAAAAUAACCGAAAAAAAAAGAUCUAAAAAAAUGUCCGAAAAAAAGAUCUGAAAAAAUGUCAGAAAAAAAAGUCAGAAAAAAUGUCAGAAAGUUGGAACCCUGAAUUCACCAUCAUAAAAAAUCCUUAUGUGAAUAUGUCAAGGCUUUAUUUUGGACCCAUCCCCUUUGAUUUAUUAAAUAUCUUGUGUUUAUUUCUACUUAUGAAGUGUUAUUUUUGCUUUGUGUUGGACUGCCUCUUCAUACACUAGGACUCUUCUCUAUAUAUAGAGAGAGAUCUCUGCUGUGGUCACAUGAUCCAACGUGUUUUGCAUCACAACUUACCAAGUGACUGUUGGUGUUUAUUAGCUGUGUCAAUAUGUACUAGUACUUUUAAAGUGUACACUGCACAGUACGUUCUUAUUUACAACUAAUGAAGGUACUUAAAAUAUUGAGUUAAGAUGAGACUUUAACUGUAACUAAAAUUACACAUUAUUUAAUCUGUUAUUUUAGUUCCAGUUAAUGUUCUCCUCAAAAGAAGCUUGAGCUCUUCGUAGUAAAGAUGCAAAUACGAGAUUAUGUCUAAACAGGAAACUAGACAGUCUGAAGCAGGGUUAGUACUUUAACAGUACAGCAGAGGUUCAUGGAGUAUUUUAGAGAAGUAGAUUGUUUUAAGUGUAUAUAAAAACAGGAUAUAUGUACACUUCUGAAACCAACUCAUGCCCUUUGGCUGUCGUAUGAAAGUAGCACGGUUUUAUAUAUAGUUUCCUGUUUGAAGAAGUUUCCUGACUCAAAACUUAAUAAAUGAAUAAAGCUUCUGUUCUGUUACGUUAGUGUAAAACCUCAACAAGAUAUUAUUUUUUCAGCUGUUUCUGUAGAUAUUAUUAUUAUUAUUAUUAUUGUAUCAUGCAGAACUAAUAUGCCCAAACAGGCUCACAAGACGCUGUUAUUUAGUAAAAGGAAGACCAGAAACCAGAGCAGCAACAAAAUUAAUUAAUAAUAAAUAAAUAUAUACAGUAUAUGAACAUACAGACACCGUUAAAAAAAUUAUACAGAAUAUAAAGAAUAUAUGUACACAGGGUCUGAAAUUAACCUUUUUCCUCACCUGCCACUUCUGAAAUCUACGUAGAACGCUUUAAAAUUGUAAACACUGAGUCAGCGGUACCAGACCGUAGAAUUUUGGAAUAUAUCAUGUAACCUUUAAUCCAUAUAUAUCUAUAUUUAUAUUUAGGCUUUACAGUUGCUUUUUAAAAAUAAUAUUUCUUAAUAUAAGGAAAACCUGUUAUUUGGCAGGUGGUAGGUGCUAAUUUCAUUCCCUGUAUGUACAUAAAUAUAAAACAUAGUGUUGUCUUUUUCAUCAACAAUAUUGCAUAUUGGGUACGACAAACAAAAAUAAAAAUAAAAUAAUGAAACACACACACAUACAUACCGGUAUAUAAUGUAAAAAAGAAAAGAAUAAUAUAAAUAAAUAAA
Sebastes umbrosus (honeycomb rockfish) is the source of this 2376-nucleotide long non-coding RNA. RefSeq lists it as uncharacterized. Lineage: Eukaryota; Metazoa; Chordata; Actinopteri; Perciformes; Sebastidae. The record is from RefSeq and is a predicted model, not a curated record. The transcript is spliced from 2 exons.